RNAcentral lists this ribosomal RNA (523 nucleotides) under Dasytes otini. Its description in RNAcentral is "partial 16S ribosomal RNA". The stretch from base 387 to 523 matches the Rfam family "Bacterial large subunit ribosomal RNA", at positions 2473 to 2610 of the family's 2925-position model. The record is from RNAcentral. Lineage: Eukaryota; Metazoa; Arthropoda; Insecta; Coleoptera; Melyridae.
CAUGUCUUUUUGAAUAUAAUUUAAAGUCUAAUCUGCCCACUGAAAAUUUAAAUGGCCGCAGUAUUUUGACUGUGCUAAGGUAGCAUAAUCAAUAGUUUCUUAAUUAGAAGCUGGAAUGAAUGAUUGGAUGAGAUAAAAACUGUCUUAAUUUUAAUAAUUAAAAUUUUAUUUUUAAGUAAAAAAGCUUAAAUAAUUUUAAAAGACGAGAAGACCCUAUAGAGUUUUAUAUUUUAUUUAUAAUAAAAUUAUUAUUUAAAUAUUUUAUUAUUAUAAAAAAUAUUUUGUUGGGGUGAUAGAAAAAUUUAAUUAACUUUUUUUUUUAUUAAAACAUAAAUUUAUGAAUAAAUGAUCCAUAAUUAAUGAUUAAAAGAUUAAAUUACCUUAGGGAUAACAGCGUAAUUUUUUUUAAGAGUUCAAAUCGAAAAAGAAGAUUGCGACCUCGAUGUUGGAUUAAAGUUAAGUUUUGGUGUAGAAGCUAAAAUUUUAAGUCUGUUCGACUUUUAAAACUUUACAUGAUCUGAGU